This 120-nucleotide ribosomal RNA is filed under the name uncultured bacterium. Its description in RNAcentral is "partial 16S ribosomal RNA". It matches the Rfam family "Bacterial small subunit ribosomal RNA", at positions 28 to 147 of the family's 1533-position model. The record is from RNAcentral.
GACGAACGCUGGCGGCGCGCUUAACACAUGCAAGUCGAGCGACGAAAGGUCCUUCGGGACCCUGAAAGCGGCGAACGGGUGAGUAACACGUGGGUAACCAACCCUCGGUUUCGGGAUAGC